RNAcentral lists this ribosomal RNA (396 nucleotides) under Bacillus sp. PAS42. Its description in RNAcentral is "bacterial SSU rRNA". It matches the Rfam family "Bacterial small subunit ribosomal RNA", at positions 1019 to 1416 of the family's 1533-position model. The record is from RNAcentral. Lineage: Bacteria; Bacillati; Bacillota; Bacilli; Caryophanales; Bacillaceae.
UCGGGGGACAGAGUGACAGGUGGUGCAUGGUUGUCGUCAGCUCGUGUCGUGAGAUGUUGGGUUAAGUCCCGCAACGAGCGCAACCCUUGAUCUUAGUUGCCAGCAUUCAGUUGGGCACUCUAAGGUGACUGCCGGUGACAAACCGGAGGAAGGUGGGGAUGACGUCAAAUCAUCAUGCCCCUUAUGACCUGGGCUACACACGUGCUACAAUGGAUGGUACAAAGGGCUGCAAACCUGCGAAGGUAAGCGAAUCCCAUAAAGCCAUUCUCAGUUCGGAUUGCAGGCUGCAACUCGCCUGCAUGAAGCCGGAAUCGCUAGUAAUCGCGGAUCAGCAUGCCGCGGUGAAUACGUUCCCGGGCCUUGUACACACCGCCCGUCACACCACGAGAGUUUGUA